RNAcentral lists this long non-coding RNA (2626 nucleotides) under Sus scrofa (pig). Its description in RNAcentral is "lncRNA (ENSSSCG00055016690.1)". The record is from RNAcentral. Lineage: Eukaryota; Metazoa; Chordata; Mammalia; Artiodactyla; Suidae.
AUGGAGUUCCUGGGCCAGGGAUCAGAUCCGAGCCACAGUUUCAACCUAAGUUGCAGCUGUGGCAAUGCUGGAUAUUUAACCCACUCCAUGCAGCCAGACUCAUAUACUGGUGUUUUCUCCAAAUAGUUUGGGGCUAGUUUCUGAUUGGGAGGAACAACACUUGAUUACUUACGUCAGUUUAAUAAGUGAGAGUCUCUGAUGUAUCAGACAAUCUUUGGAGCCCUUUGCAUUGUUUCCUUGCUCAUGCAUCUUCUUUAUCUGACUCACUAUAAAACAAAAAUGGCACCACUUCAGGACUUCAGGCCUGUGCCAUGACAUUUCAGAGAAACUGAAAUCCCAUCUGAAUGGAAAGAGUUAAUACAAUUCCUUUAGCCAGAGGGUAGAGAUUUUAACUCUCCUGAAGAGCCUGGUCUAUGUGAAAGCAUCUCUUUUUGUGGUGCCUGGCAGAGUCUGCAUGGCUCACCAGCUCUCCCCUGUCCUGAUGAGCCAGCCUUGUCACCAAACCCCUCUGCCCACCAGAUUGAGGCCAGGACUGUACAGGUACUGCUCGUUCCCUUCCGGUCGCUCACUGGGCCCCUCCUAGACCUGGGAGGAAGGAGUGGGAGGAGUAAUAUGAGGAGACUGAAGACACUGAGUUAUGAGGGAAAAAAAAAUCUCAGUCAAAUACAUCUGAAGCCAGUCUUCCCCCAAACUGGGAUAAAUCUGGGUGAUUUAUCCUGAUUAAUGUGGAUGGGCCUCAACUGAAAGUCUCUAAGAACAAAACCGAAGUUUCCCAGAGGAACAGUGGCUUUCAUCUGUGAACUAUAGUGUCCAUGCCCACGUUAAUCAGGUUAAUCGCCUUUAUUUAAAUUAAAUUUUUCAGAGUUCCUGCUUUGGUGGAAGGGGAUUGGCUAUAUCUUGCAGCGCUAGGAUGCGUGGCACAAUGGGUUAAAGUUGCUGGCAUUGCUGUAGCAGCCGCAGACAUAGGUCUUGUUUGCUGCUCAGAUCUGAUCCCUGGCCUGGGAACUCCAUAUGCCACAGGGAGGGCCCCCCUCCUAAAAAAAAAAGAGAAAAGAAAAAAAAAAAAUAGAAAAAAGAAAAAAAAUAGAAAAAGUCAGUUUAUUGUAGACAAUGUAAUCACAUCUAUAAAAUACCUUUAACCUAGCCAAGUUACACAGCAAACUAGCCAACGCAACACACAAGCUUAUUUUUCCUCUGAGAGCUGGGGGAAUAUCCCUGGAGCACUAUUUAUAUGGGAUAAACAAAAUAUUGUAAAGAUGCCAGCCCUCUGUGGAGAGAACUUGCCUCUGGUCCUCAGAGAGUCAAUCUAGGAAUCGUUAACAAGGGAAUUGCUUGUGGUCCCAGAACUGGAGGCACACAGGCCCCUCCCGCCUCUUGCACUGUUUUCACAGGCACCAGGAUAUAGGAAGAGUAGUGAUGGACACCCCAGGGAACUGAGAGAAAACUGGAAUCUGGGAAACCUGAGGUCAGCACAACUUGUCAGACACAUGUUAGGAUUUGGAGAGAAUUAAACUGGGGAGUUCCUGUUGUGGCUCAGAGGGUUAAGAACCUGAUAUAGUGUCUGUGAGGAUGUGGGUUCAAUACCGGGCCUCAAUCAGUGGAUUAAGGAUCCAGUGUUGCCACAAGCUGCAGCAUGUCACUGAUGUGGAUCAGAUCUGAUGUGGCUGUUGUGUGGCUUCCAUAAGCCACAGGCACAGCCCUAAAAAAAAAAAAAAAAGAAAAAAUUACACCAGGACUGGUGUGAGAUGUUGGUCACAUUCUUGUUCUCAACAUGGAAAAAUCUGAAAUUCACUUUUUCUCUUCAUGACCACUCUGAUUUGCAGGGCCUUGUGGGAGUAAUGGGAUAUGUGUUUACAUGCAUGUAUAUUCUCUUGUGUAUUAUUUGCUUUUUUUAUUUAUUGCCCCAGCUGUGGCAUGCAGAAGUUUCUGGGUCAGGGAUUGAACCAGAGCCAUGGCAGUGGCAAAGUGGGAUCCUUAAGCCACUGAGUCACCAGGGAACUAUGUACCUGUGUAUUUAUUUAGUGGGAGUUUCCUAUCCCUAGAGUCAAUAAACCUUUGCGNNGGGGGGGAGGACUCAUUUUGUUCUAAAAGAUCACUUUGGGGGGCAGGGUUGUAGGGAGGAGCGUGAGAGGGAGUUUGAGGGGAACCAGGGCUGGUUCCCAAGGAGGAAAUCGGGUCAGCCUCCCACACACCUGUUAGAUGACUUGGAGCUUGAAGAUCGUUGAGCUGAGAUUGGACAAAUGUAGUUAGGAAGGUAGUGCUCUCUCAGAAGGAAAGAGAUUCGGAUCUUGACUUUUUUCUUUGUGGUUCAAAUUUAGUGCAAUAUAUUCGAUGGCCUGGGAUAGUGCAGACCAAGGUUGGGCAGCAGGAAAAGUAUAAGAUGACCUCUAAGACAAAAUUCACCAAAAUGGGAGGGGUAAUUCAAAUGCAUGAUUAGUUUCCACACAAGGGCAACCCAGGUAGAAGAUGCUUCCGGACCCAGUGUAGACUCCUGCAGCUACCUGGGCACUGGUUCAUCUAGAGAAACAGGGCUAGUGUGUGAGUUGAAAGAGCCGAUCCUUAAGAGCUUCUACAUGUGGGGCCUGGGCUAAAACUGCUGAGUGGGAGACUUGGGGGAAAGAGUGUC